GACAUACUCCCUCCGUCUUAAAAUUCUUGUCUUUGAUUUGUUUAGAUACGAACGUAUCUAGUUAUGUAUUAGUAUUUAGAUACAUUCAAUUUUAAACAAACUUAAGACAAGAAUUUGAGACUGAGGGAGUACUAG
Hordeum vulgare subsp. vulgare (domesticated barley) is the source of this 135-nucleotide non-coding RNA. The record is from Rfam. Lineage: Eukaryota; Viridiplantae; Streptophyta; Magnoliopsida; Poales; Poaceae.